UAUCUCUUCGAUACGGUGUAAGAACAGUGUGUCACAAAAACAACAUUGGAAUAAUUGUAUGGAUAAAUUUAACGAGAAGAAAUAAAUUAGAAAAAUAUAUCUCUUCGAUACGGUGUAAGAACGGUGUGUCACGAAAACAACAUUGGAAUAAUUGUAUGGAUAAAUUUAACGAGAAGAAAUAAAUUAGAAAAAUAUAUCUCUUCGAUACGGCGUAAGAACGGUGUGUCACGAAAACAACAUUGGAAUAAUU
Molecule: non-coding RNA, 250 nt
Organism: Nylanderia fulva
Lineage: Eukaryota; Metazoa; Arthropoda; Insecta; Hymenoptera; Formicidae
Source: RefSeq, a predicted model, not a curated record